Molecule: non-coding RNA, 2077 nt
Organism: Phalacrocorax carbo (great cormorant)
Lineage: Eukaryota; Metazoa; Chordata; Aves; Suliformes; Phalacrocoracidae
Source: RefSeq, a predicted model, not a curated record
GAGGGAGGGCCGGCAGCCCGCUCCGCCCGCCAGCGGAACGACGGGGAACUUCGAGCCGGCGCCGCCUCCGCCCAGGCGCGCACAGCACAGCACCGCGCCGCCCGCCCGCAAAGGGGCUGCAGGGGAAGGCCGGGCCCAGCGCCUCAGCCAUGUCUGAGGGAGCCGCCAAGCUGCGCCUGAAGCCCAGGAAGGCGCCGCCAGCCUGCUGCCGGGAGCCCAGCCCUGGCCGGGAGCCCCCCCGGCGGCGCCAGGCAUUGGCUGACAGAUGUUCCUGGUUUGAAAAAGACGACUUAAAUGAGUGUGAAGACCCAUGGAUUUUGUUACUGAAAGACAUCAGUCAAGAUUUGCAAUGCACAAAUGGGCAAACAGUGCCCAGUUUUCCAGAGUUCAGUGGAAAGAGUUCUGAGGAAGAAAGUCUACAAAAACAAGAAGUCUUUACAGUUGGAAUGAAAGACUUUCAGUGGGUAUCAUUCCCAUCUUUUUGCAAAGAAAAAUGUCUGAAGCCAAAGGACCUUAGCUCCCAUCAGCUAACACAGAGCCAGAUCGACCAUUUGCAUAACGGACAGGGCCAAGCAGAUAAACCAGAAAGCUUACCUUCUACAGCUGAGAAAACAUGCUGUGUAACUGUUACAGAUCAAGCCAAGAACAUGGUUGGGGAAGACACAAAAGGCAUUUCAAAGCUGGAUGCAAGUCCUAAAUCAUGUAAACUCGCUCAGCACAGAACUUCUACACACCACUCGGCAUCGUCACAAAGCUCUGCAAAAGCUUUUAGCUUUCAACAGCACUGCAGAGGGACUGUACAGGACAGCGGGAAAAACAGAAAAGAAAACGAUAGCAAAGAGCUUCAGAUACAAACACAUCAAGGGACUAUUUUGUUUGGUGAGGCCAGAAACGUGCCUGCAGAAAAGCAGCCUCCUCUUGUGAGCAUACCUGGAACUGAAAGCUGCAAGGAGAAGACUGAAAAUCAGAGUGAAGGAUCUUCAACUCUUGACAGUUGUCCAAUGUGUCUGAUCCAUUUCAGCAGAACACUGUCACAGCUGGAUAUUGACAGCCAUCUUGCUAGGUGCUUGUCUGAAAGUGCUGACGACAUAACGUGGUAAAUGCAGAGGAAUGAAGAGCAAAGAAACAAGGCCAAAGGUGAACCUUUCUCAAAGGAAAAAAAAAAAAAACAACAAAAACAUGUCAAGGAAGCACAUUCUUGUCUCCAACUUGCUUAAGGAUCACAAAUCAGUAAUUCCAUAGAAGGUCAAGUGCCACCUGCCUGUUUGGGCACAUCGCGUCCGGAUCACAGCCUCACGGCUCCAGUCGGGGCCCUGUGGAAGGGCUGUACGCAGGAGCAGGACACUCAUGCCUCUUGCAGCUGUUCUGAUUGCAGCUGCCUUCACACAUGGUGAAGAGCCCAACUCAGGUGAACGCCCAUCAGCCUGAACAGUUUUUCUAUCUCAGCAAAGGUCUGCCCUGGACCUCAGAAAUGUAGGGCCCAGGUGCAGGGCCAAGACACAGAACACAGAGUACCUUGUCAAACCACAGGAAGAAUCCUAUAGAUUUAAUUUACAAUGGGGUCUCUGAAAAGUGCAAGUUGGACAGAGCUGAGUUUACUGAUAAAGAAUAACAGUCUAUUAACUUUUUCAUUAAAGUCUUUAAUAGAUGUGCAAGAAUAUAAAUGAUCUUAGCUGUUAUGGGUUAGUAUACCGCCUUCUGCACAAUUAAAACUGGUCAGCGAAGAUCCAACUAAAUUAUACAAAACUACAAGAACAUAUUUACUGUUUUACAAUCAUUAAGUUAGCUAGAAUUUUUAUUUACUAUUUCAAAUAAGACAACUAUAUAUCAUUACCAGAUCCAUUUGUAAUAUAUUAGGAUUUUUUUUUCCAAACCACACAUUUACUUACAUCCUUCAUUUUCUUUUAUUUAUAAAACAAGUACUUUAUAUAAAAAAUUUCCCCUUCAUCAUGAACAGAACAUUAUUCAAACACUUGCACAUGAGCAACCAAACUUGUAUCCAGCAAACUAUUUGGCAACACAGCAACAUUGUAAUUGCCUGUAAAUUUUUAAAUAAAAUCAAGUAGUCUUUACAAUG